UGUUCAGAAUUGUUUUGUAACAUUUUUAAUCAGUUUCUUCUUGUCUUCCAUUUCUUUUCUACAGAGAGCAGAGGACUGGAGACAGUGUGAAGUUUGAACACUCAUUUUAAAUUCAGAUACAGUAUACUUAUGAUAUGGUCAUAUUUCAUCUGAUGACAUAUUGCUCAUCUGUUCAUCUGGUUUUUCAUACUUUGAACAUUGAUCUCCAUCGUCUGAUUGCUCUUUCUUUGUUGUUUUUUUCUUUUUCUUUUUCAGAAAAAUGAGAGGAGAAAAAUGAGAGGAGAAAAAUGAGAGGAG
Molecule: long non-coding RNA, 297 nt
Organism: Thunnus maccoyii (southern bluefin tuna)
Lineage: Eukaryota; Metazoa; Chordata; Actinopteri; Scombriformes; Scombridae
Exons: 3
Source: RefSeq, a predicted model, not a curated record